RNA transcript from Biomphalaria glabrata, 2863 nucleotides. RefSeq lists it as uncharacterized. The transcript is spliced from 10 exons. NCBI's taxonomy places the organism in Eukaryota, Metazoa, Mollusca, Gastropoda, Planorbidae. The record is from RefSeq and is a predicted model, not a curated record.
UGUCUGUCUUGUUGUUUACAAAUGGUCGUCACAUUGGAGACAUCUUUGUAUCAGUUCUCUUGUCAUUAUUAAAGGACUUUUAAAACGCGAGAUCUGUACUUCUAGAUAAAUAAACAUUGCUUAAAUAUAUACAUAGACCUUUAUAUUUUUAAUGUACUACUUUAGAUACAAAUUGUGUGAUCAAAGUUACAAAAUAUAUUUAGAUCUAGAUCUAGAUUCAAUCUAGAGUCUAGAGUCUAGACAUUCUAGAUCUUCAAUUUAAAUGCAAAUCAAUUAUAGAUUAUUCAAAUCUAGAUCUAUAUGUAAUGUAUAUUUAGUCUAGUUGUAGGUCAAGAUUUAGAAUAACACAAAGAUUUGAAUCUCAUCUGUCUAAAUCUUAACUUUGUCUAGUGCUUCAUUUUGAUAGCAAUGUCAGCCUCCAAUACAACAAAUGAACCAGGUAACAGAGGCGGUGUCAUUAGGAAAUAUCCCGAGGAUACGCCCAUGGAAAUAGAAGAAGAGCAUGCCUCUAAGCGGAUGAGACUUACAUACCAAAGAGGUGCCGAUCUCAACGUCUAUAACAAGCCUGCCCAGGCUAAAGUCCACCAAGAACCUGACUGGAGUCUAUUGCCCUACACUGUGUUAAAACAUAUCUACACUGUACUCCCCAAUACGCACCGCUACAGUAUGUCCUUGACCUGCCGAUCCUGGAACGCGCCGUUCAGAACACCAGAUCUCUGGAGGAACCUGACCUUUCGAUUCAACAGAGUUCAAGACAAGAAAGCCAAGCGGUUUUGUCAGACGAUGGUACCCACUGGGGUGCGGCACUUAAAUAUUGACUGUAAAGCCAUUGAUUCUGGUGGUCAUGUUAAAGUGGGCGAGUCUGUGGCGUAUUUGCUGAGAUUUUUACGUCACCUAAUGACCCAUAAUGUUAAUAACCUGAUCUCGCUGCGACUGGCCAACAUAGCCCGAAUGACCAACAGGUAUAAUCUAAUCAGCAAGCGUAAAGAUCUUGUCAUGACAUUGCGUGGCUUUGUAUCCAGUCAAACACAACUGAAGUUGUUAAAUAUGUCUUGUGCUUGUAUUGGACUAGACCAAGGAACAAAGAUGCUGCUUAAAGCAGGCCGUAGUUGCGGGAACACAAUUCAGAAACUAAUCAUCGAUGGAUUAUUUGACGAGGAUGCUGUUUAUAUGGAAGCCCUUCGUAUGAACGACGAUGAUGAUGAUGAUGAUGAUGAUGAUGAUGACGACGACUUUCAAAGGCCGACUGCUGAUAUUAUAACAAGAGCAAUGCUAGAGCCACUCAAGUUGUACACAAAAAUGUCAUCAUUGACUACCAGCUAUCAAUACAUAUCAAAGGACAUUUUGAUAAUGCUUGCUAAACAUCGCAACCUUAAUCAACUUCGAGUCUACGUAGAAAGAGGAUACGAACAAACUCCGAUUACAAGUGAGACAUGGCUGACUGUACUCGGUUUUAUACCGGAUUUGGAGGUGUCUUUCCACAUACUGUUCGCCAUCGAAAGUGAAAAGUUCGCUGAAAUGCUGGUGCCUGGUGUGCCAUUUGUCGGACUGGACUGGCUAACUCGUAAAGAUGAAGAUAGCCGGACGUGGGACCAUGAAGAAGUGUUAUUAAUUUUCGAGUACAUGGUUGAAGUCUUUCCGAACACUUUGCGCUUCAUCACACUGGGCCUGGAUGACUACCCCAGAAAGUUUGUCACUUUGUUUGAUGAUAUUCUAGAUAAGUGUUUAAACAUCGAAACGCUGUCCGUUAAAGCUCCAGACGACAGGGGGAAGACCUUCCAGAUGGCGUUAGCCAAAUUCGUGACCUGGGCCUACGAACGACAACCGUUGAGCUCGUUUCGUGAGCUGAGGUUCAACGAUGAAGUGUUGCUGAGCGUAACAGGGCCUCAUACCAGGAGAAACUAGUGAGUGAGGAAGUACAUGUACUCGAUACCAGUAAGUGAGGAAGUACAUGUACUCGAUACCAGUGAAGUAGCCCAAACAUACAGCGAAUGUUUACCAGUAACCUGUCUUUAACUCAUGUGUCUUAUAUCCAUAGAAUGUUCUAUUCUACAUUCUGUAUGCUAGUUGUUUAUUGUUGAAACACUUCACACGUAAGACAAUUCUUAGCGACGAGUGGAACAUUUCCAUACAGAGUUCACAUCAUACAGAUGCUCUACAUAAGUCAAUUAUAAGCAGAAAAUAUGCCAAGUUUUACAUUUUUUAAAAAAUUUGUGCCUUUUGUAAUUUUAAAAUGACAAUGAAUCUCUGCUAUUUUAAAUUGCAUCUUUUUUUUUACACUUUGGUAACCAAAGAUGAAGCACUGAAGAAAAUAACAUCAUAACUGGGGUUACUUUCCAUGAAAAUAUUAUAGCCAUGCCUCGGCUGUUCAGGGGAUAUAACUUUUGUUUCUUUAUCUUAGUAAAGUACAGGAAAGAUAACUGAAAAUAAAUACUUUUUGUUUUAUUCAUUCUAUUUAGUGACUUACACUUCAGUGCUGAAUUAAUGUAUCUAGGUGCCCUUGUUUGUAUUAAUGUGUACCAGAAGUGGAACAGUGAAAUAAUUGUAACAUUCUUUUUCUUCGCGUUUCACAAAACAGAACCUUUCCACAUAGAUAGUCCUUACAAUUUACAUUGUAGAGGACGAUUUAUAAUAUCUUCCAUUUAAUAUGCAACAUGAUGGGAAAUGUAUAUGUUUGUCCAAUGUUUUGAUUGGUUGUGUUAUUAACAGGAGAAAAUAUUUUUAAAAUGUUUUGUUUUGAUUUCAAACAAUUUAUUGAAAUCCAAUUUUUAUGAUUCUAUAUUUUUUGUGCUUUAUUUUAAGUGCAAUCAUUUCUACAUUUUGGAGUUUUGUAACCGCAAAUAAAUCACAAGAGACCUAAGUU